This 77-nucleotide transfer RNA is filed under the name Candidatus Altimarinota bacterium. RNAcentral's name for it is "tRNA-Pro". It matches the Rfam family "tRNA". Rfam says of the family: Transfer RNA (tRNA) molecules are approximately 80 nucleotides in length. The record is from RNAcentral. Lineage: Bacteria; Candidatus Altimarinota.
CGGGGCGUGGCGCAGUUGGCUAGCGCGCAUGGUUUGGGACCAUGAGGCCCUGGGUUCAAGUCCCAGCGCCCCGACCA